This 438-nucleotide ribosomal RNA is filed under the name uncultured bacterium. Its description in RNAcentral is "partial 16S ribosomal RNA". It matches the Rfam family "Bacterial small subunit ribosomal RNA", at positions 339 to 795 of the family's 1533-position model. The record is from RNAcentral.
CUACGGGGCGCACCAGUGGGGAAUUUUGCGCAAUGGGGGAAACCCUGACGCAGCAAUACCGCGUGAGUGAAGAAGGCCUUUGGGUCGUAAAGCUCUUUUCUUGGGGAAGAUAGUGACGGUACCCAAGGAAUAAGCACCGGCUAACUCCGUGCCAGCAGCCGCGGUAAUACGGAGGGUGCAAGCGUUGUUCGGAUUUACUGGGCGUAAAGGGCACGUAGGCGGCACAGCAAGUUAAGGGUGAAAUCCCGGGGCUCAACUCCGGAACUGCUCUUAAAACUGCUGAGCUAGAGAUAGUCAGAGGCGGGUGGAAUUCCAGGUGUAGAGGUGAAAUUCGUAGAUAUCUGGAGGAACACCGGUGGCGAAGGCGGCCCGCUGGGGCUAUUCUGACGCUAAGGUGCGAAAGCGUGGGGAGCAAACGGGAUUAGAUACCCCAGUGUC